Fukomys damarensis (Damara mole-rat) is the source of this 314-nucleotide non-coding RNA. NCBI's taxonomy places the organism in Eukaryota, Metazoa, Chordata, Mammalia, Rodentia, Bathyergidae. The record is from Rfam.
GGAUGUCCAGGUGAUCUGGCUGCAACAUCUGUCACUCCAUUGAUUGCCAAGGUUGAUUCAGCUGAUGUAGCUGGCUAAGCAGUUAUCCCCUUCCUCCCUCACCACUCCAUGUGCGUCACUCCUGAAUAUGCACACUCAGUGGAAGAGGACGACCAUCCCCAACAGAGGACCACUUCCUCAGUGAAGGGUAUACAAGUAGAUGUGCUCCCCUGCUAGGAUCUCCAAACAAGCUCUCGAGACUGCCUUGGGUGUGACAUUUGAAGCAAAGAUUUUUUUGCUGCAGAAUAUUAUUGGUAUUUUCAUUGUAGUUCAUG